This 256-nucleotide ribosomal RNA is filed under the name uncultured Rhizophagus. Its description in RNAcentral is "partial large subunit ribosomal RNA". It matches the Rfam family "Eukaryotic large subunit ribosomal RNA", at positions 359 to 630 of the family's 3401-position model. Lineage: Eukaryota; Fungi; Glomeromycota; Glomeromycetes; Glomerales; Glomeraceae. The record is from RNAcentral.
GAAAGAUGAAAAGUACUUUGAAAAGAGAGUUAAAUAGUACGUGAAAUUGUUGAAAGGGAAACGAUUGAAGCCAGUCGUACCUUCGGGUAAUCAGCCUUUCGGGUGCGAUUCUGUGGAGUUUGAGGAGCUUAACACCUUCAUGCUUUGCAUAUUCGUGCUCUUGGGUGUACUUGCUCGUAUGGUUGGUUAACAUCAAUUUUGGUGGUCAUAAAAUGACUGGAGGAAUGUAGCUUCGAUCUCGUAUUGAAGUGUUAUA